AACCCUGGGGAAAACAAAUCAUUGUCAUUCCUUGCAAAGGAAAGAGAAAAGGAAGAUGAGGAAACGUGGGGUCUCAGAGCUGCCUUGAAUACCUCUAGUUUCAGCACAUACUCUUAUUAUCUCCCCACAAGUUUGGAAAUAGAUUUUGUGAUUGCACCUGACAAACACGGAGAUGAGGAUGCAGAAGAGAAAGUUGAGCACCUGUCAAGGUUACACAGGCGUGAGUGCCAGGUGGGUUCUCCUGGCAUCCAACACAGCUUCGGAGAAGCACAAGCAGGAAGCAAGGGACCCGUGAUGCAGGCCUGCAGCGAAGCCCUGGCCAGCCUGCCUCUCCACGGAGUUGGUUGAAGUCUGCAGAGAACUGGGCACCGCAGCUGUGCGUGGCACGAGAGGACAGUCUGAGAAGACCUGAAGUGAUGUACAAGAGGUGUUCAAUACAUGGUGCGUGUCACACUGUAAGAGCUCAAUAAAUAUUUGUUCACUGAAAAGACCCCAGGUGACUGGAUCACAGAACUGAAGAGUUGGAGGAGGCCGUGGAAAUCAGCUCAUCCAGCCUCCCACCUGGUGUAGGUUUUCCUUCUGAAGGAGCCAGGCAGAUGCUUCCCGAAAAGGGGAGCUCACCCACUGCUUGUAGAGAGUCCUUUUUGUGUGUAGGGACUUCUACCUCUGGGAUGUUUCCCUCACGUGGACAGAAAUCUAUCUCCCUGGACAUUCUACCAUCAGUUCCAGUUCAGCCCCCAACAACAUAAUACAGCCACUUCCUUUGCCAAAUAGCACCUGGAAAUGAGGUUUGCACGUGAAGGCAGCAUUUAAACAGGAAGCUGAGAGUCUUUAGUUCAGUGUCCUCCAACUUAAGUCUGGGUUGGCCAGCAUGGCCUGAGACUGGGUUUAACGCUACCCUACUUCACCCCACCCCAGGCACAGGUUCCCACAACCUGAGCAGCGCCUGUCCUGUUAGGGAGGGAGGCGAUUCACAUCCAACUGGGAGGAGCGGCCUUAUACGCUUAGAAAAGCAACUCUGUCAAAAUUGACACCUUCUGUCAUCCUCCCAUGUCGAGCACCCUGUCCUAGGAUCGUCACCCCUGAGCAUCCUUCCUGAGUGG
This 1103-nucleotide long non-coding RNA is filed under the name Equus asinus (donkey). RNAcentral's name for it is "lncRNA (ENSEASG00005032294.1)". The record is from RNAcentral. Lineage: Eukaryota; Metazoa; Chordata; Mammalia; Perissodactyla; Equidae.